Molecule: ribosomal RNA, 194 nt
Filed under: uncultured bacterium
Lineage: Bacteria
Description: partial 16S rRNA
Rfam family: Bacterial small subunit ribosomal RNA
Source: RNAcentral
CCUACGGGAGGCAGCAGUGGGGAAUMUUGGACAAUGGGCGCAAGCCUGAUCCAGCCAUGCCGCGUGAGUGAAGAAGGCCCUCGGGUUGUAAAGCUCUUUUGUCCGGAAAGAAAAGCACUUGGCUAAUACCCAGGUGUCCUGACGGUACCGGAAGAAUAAGCACCGGCUAANUUCGUGCCAGCAGCCGCGGUAAU